Molecule: ribosomal RNA, 901 nt
Filed under: Truncatella angustata
Lineage: Eukaryota; Fungi; Ascomycota; Sordariomycetes; Amphisphaeriales; Sporocadaceae
Description: LSU rRNA
Rfam family: Eukaryotic large subunit ribosomal RNA
Source: RNAcentral
GCAUAUCAAUAAGCGGAGGAAAAGAAACCAACAGGGAUUGCCUUAGUAACGGCGAGUGAAGCGGCAAUAGCUCAAAUUUGAAAUCUGGCGCUUGCGUCCGAGUUGUAAUUUGCAGAGGAUGAUUUUGGUUAGGUACCUUCCGAGUUCCUUGGAACAGGACGCCUUAGAGGGUGAGAGCCCCGUACGGUUGGAUGCCGAGCCUUUGUAAAUCUCCUUCGACGAGUCGAGUAGUUUGGGAAUGCUGCUCUAAAUGGGAGGUAAAUUUCUUCUAAAGCUAAAUACCGGCCAGAGACCGAUAGCGCACAAGUAGAGUGAUCGAAAGAUGAAAAGCACUUUGAAAAGAGGGUUAAAUAGCACGUGAAAUUGUUGAAAGGGAAGGAUUUAUGACCAGACUUUUUCUAGGAGGAUCAUCCGGUGUUCUCACCGGUGCACUUCUUCUAGUCUAGGCCAGCAUCGACUUUCGGCGGUGGAUAAAAGCUUUGGGAAUGUGACUCCUUUCGGGGAGUGUUAUAGCCUAUUGUAUAAUACACUGCUGGGGGUCGAGGUACGCGCUUCUGCAAGGAUGCUGGCGUAAUGGUUAUCAAUCACCCGUCUUGAAACACGGACCAAGGAGUCGAACAUUUGUGCAAGUGUUUGGGUGUUAAACCCUCACGCGUAAUGAAAGUGAACGGAGGUGAGAGCCCUUACGGGUGCAUCAUCGACCGAUCCUGAUGUUUUCGGAUGGAUUUGAGUAAGAGCAUAACUGUUCGGACCCGAAAGAUGGUGAACUAUGCGUGGAUAGGGUGAAGCCAGAGGAAACUCUGGUGGAGGCUCGCAGCGGUUCUGACGUGCAAAUCGAUCGUCAAAUCUGCGCAUGGGGGCGAAAGACUAAACGAACCAUCUAGUAGCUGGUUACCGCCGA